CCUANGGGUGGCAGCAGUGAGGAAUAUUGGGCAAUGCCCGCAAGGGUGACCCAGCAACGCCGCGUGGAGGAUGAAGGCCGUAAGGUUGUAAACUCCUGUUAGAGGAGAAGAAUAGUGCCGAUUGGAUCGGUAUUUGACUGUACCCUCAGAGAAAGCCCCGGCUAACUACGUGCCAGCAGCCGCGGUAAUACGUAGGGGGCAAGCGUUGUCCGGAUUUACUGGGUGUAAAGGGCGCGCAGGCGGGAUAGCAAGUCAGAGGUGAAAUCCUACAGCUUAACUGUAGAACUGCCUUUGAUACUGUUAUUCUUGAGUUCGGGAGAGAGAGACGGAAUUCCAGGUGUAGUGGUGAAAUACGUAGAUAUCUGGAAGAACACCAGUUGCGAAGGCGGUCUCUUGGUCCGAUACUGACGCUGAGGCGCGAAAGCGUGGGGAGCAAACAGGAUUAGAUACCCCGNUANUC
This 460-nucleotide ribosomal RNA is filed under the name uncultured bacterium. RNAcentral's name for it is "bacterial SSU rRNA". It matches the Rfam family "Bacterial small subunit ribosomal RNA", at positions 338 to 795 of the family's 1533-position model. The record is from RNAcentral.